AUGGUAGAUUUCUCAGCAGGUCCACAGCUUGCCGUAUGUCUUCUUGCAAAAGCUUCAGAAUGCUGGCUCUGGCAUCGAAGGCUGGGGCAUGCUGGCAUGAGGAACUUACACACACUCGUCAAGAAGAAGCAUGUCAUUGGCAUCGAAGGUGUCAAGUUCAAGAAAGAUCAUUUGUGUGGUGCCUGUGAAGCUGGGAAGAUGACUAGGGCGAAGCACCCCUCGAAGACAAUCAUGACGACAUCUCAACCCUUCGAGCUGUUGCACAUGGACUUAUAUGGCCCUACUCACUACUCUACCCUCACAACAACAGCGUGUCUCUUUGACUUCGUUAUUGUUGAUGACUACUCAAGAUACACAUGGGUGCACAUAAUUCUCUACAAGACUGAAGUACAAGAUGUCUUCAGAUGA
Molecule: ribosomal RNA, 408 nt
Filed under: Triticum aestivum (bread wheat)
Lineage: Eukaryota; Viridiplantae; Streptophyta; Magnoliopsida; Poales; Poaceae
Description: partial small subunit ribosomal RNA
Source: RNAcentral